Molecule: long non-coding RNA, 468 nt
Filed under: Pongo abelii (Sumatran orangutan)
Lineage: Eukaryota; Metazoa; Chordata; Mammalia; Primates; Hominidae
Description: lincRNA
Source: RNAcentral
GGUUACUGACUGGCAAAGAAGGAUUCCACUAGCACUGCUUGGCUAUCAAAGCUGGGCAAUGUGGUCCUCUAAGCCACAUGUUUAGCCCCUUGACUGGGCAAACUUCAAACAAGGUGACUGAGCUCCCUUAGCUGCCACUGAUUGGAUCAGGAUGGACAACAAAUGUAGGAGGAGUUCAUCUGGAUCUAGCCUGAGCCAGUCAGAUGUCCCCUUUGAAUCCAUGCCUAUAGAAAUACAAAAAAUGGAAGCCAGAGGAUGAUGGAUCCUUGAAGUAAUAAGUCAGGUAGAUCUUGAAAAUUUUUGACUCAAUCCAUAUUGAUGAACACAAGAAUAAUUCUGGUCUACAAAGGGAGGCAAGAGAAAGACUUGGGGUGUAUUAAGAAAAACAGCUCUGUGGAAGUUUGAGUGACUCAUUGCAGAGAGGAACUGAUGAAGUCAACAGCUGCUGGAAAAACUUCUUUUUCCUUA